Molecule: ribosomal RNA, 253 nt
Filed under: uncultured bacterium
Lineage: Bacteria
Description: partial 16S ribosomal RNA
Rfam family: Bacterial small subunit ribosomal RNA
Source: RNAcentral
UACGAAGGGGGCUAGCGUUGCUCGGAAUCACUGGGCGUAAAGCGCACGUAGGCGGAUUGUUAAGUCAGGGGUGAAAUCCUGGAGCUCAACUCCAGAACUGCCUUUGAUACUGGCGAUCUUGAGUCCGGGAGAGGUGAGUGGAACUGCGAGUGUAGAGGUGAAAUUCGUAGAUAUCAGGAGGAACACCGGUGGCGAAGGCGCUCAUCUGGCCCAAUACUGACGCUGAGGCGCGAAAGCUAGGGGAGCAAACGGG